UGGUGCGGAAAGGGCCCACAGU
This 22-nucleotide microRNA is filed under the name Mus musculus (house mouse). RNAcentral describes it as "mmu-miR-675-5p". Its record names the gene mmu-miR-675-5p. The record is from miRBase by way of RNAcentral. Lineage: Eukaryota; Metazoa; Chordata; Mammalia; Rodentia; Muridae. RNAcentral also lists the same sequence under 1 other name.